Molecule: ribosomal RNA, 424 nt
Filed under: uncultured bacterium
Lineage: Bacteria
Description: bacterial SSU rRNA
Rfam family: Bacterial small subunit ribosomal RNA
Source: RNAcentral
AAUUUUUCACAAUGGGCGCAAGCCUGAUGACGCAACGCCGCGUGGGGGAUGAAGGCCUUCGGGUCGUAAACCCCUGUCGAAUGGGACGAAUAGCCCGCGAUCUAACAGAACGCGGGAUUGACGGUACCGUUAAAGGAAGCCACGGCUAACUCUGUGCCAGCAGCCGCGGUCAUACGGAGGGUCCAAGCGUUAUCCGGAAUUACUGGGCGUAAAGAGUUGCGUAGGCGGUUAAGUAAGUGAAUAGUGAAACUGUGUGGCUCAACCAUGCACCCAUUAUUCAAACUGCUUUGACUAGAGAAUGGAAGAGGUUGCUAGAAUUCCUAGUGUAGGGGUGAAAUCCGUAGAUAUUAGGAGGAAUACCGAUGGCGUAGGCAGGCAACUGGUCCAUUUCUGACGCUCAGGCACGAAAGCGUGGGGAGCGAUC